RNAcentral lists this ribosomal RNA (497 nucleotides) under uncultured bacterium. RNAcentral describes it as "partial 16S ribosomal RNA". It matches the Rfam family "Bacterial small subunit ribosomal RNA", at positions 899 to 1397 of the family's 1533-position model. The record is from RNAcentral.
ACUCAAAUGAAUAGACGGGGGCCCGCACAAGCGGAGGAGCAUGUGGUUUAAUUCGAUGAUACGCGAGGAACCUUACCAGGGCUUGAAAGUUAAGGAAUGUCGUAGAAAUAUGACAGUCAGCAAUGACCUAAAACUAGGUGCUGCAUGGCCGUCGUCAGCUCGUGCCGUGAGGUGUUGGGUUAAGUCCCGCAACGAGCGCAACCCCUAUCAUUAGUUGCCAACAGGUUAUGCUGGGGACUCUAAUGAGACUGCCCGCGUAAGCGGUGAGGAAGGUGGGGAUGACGUCAGGUCAUCACGGCCCUUACGUCCUGGGCUACACACGUGCUACAAUGGUAGAUACAGAGGGCAGCCAACUGGCAACAGCGAGCUAAUCCUAAAAGUCUAUCUCAGUUCGGAUCGAGGUCUGCAACCCGACCUCGUGAAGCUGGAUUCGCUAGUAAUCGCAUAUCAGCCAUGAUGCGGUGAAUACGUUCCCGGGCCUUGCACACACCGCCCGU